Molecule: unclassified non-coding RNA, 217 nt
Filed under: plant metagenome
Description: partial contains small subunit ribosomal RNA, internal transcribed spacer 1, and 5.8S ribosomal RNA
Source: RNAcentral
UCUCCGUAGGUGAACCUGCGGAGGGAUCAUUACAAGUGACUCCGGUCUAACCACCGGGAUGUUCAUAACCCUUUGUUGUCCGACUCUGUUGCCUCCGGGGCGACCCUGCCUUCGGGCGGGGGCUCCGGGUGGACACUUCAAACUCUUGCGUAGCUUUGCAGUCUGAGUAAACUUAAUUAAUAAAUUAAAACUUUUAACAACGGAUCUCUUGGUUCUG